This 253-nucleotide ribosomal RNA is filed under the name uncultured bacterium. RNAcentral describes it as "partial 16S ribosomal RNA". It matches the Rfam family "Bacterial small subunit ribosomal RNA", at positions 524 to 776 of the family's 1533-position model. The record is from RNAcentral.
UACAGAGGGUGCGAGCGUUAAUCGGAAUUACUGGGCGUAAAGCGCGCGUAGGCGGCUUUGCAAGUCGGGUGUGAAAUCCUCAGGCUUAACCUGGGAACUGCAUUCGAGACUGCAUUGCUAGAGUAUGGGAGAGGGAAGUGGAAUUUCCGGUGUAGCGGUGAAAUGCGUAGAUAUCGGAAGGAACAUCAGUGGCGAAAGCGACUUCCUGGACCAAUACUGACGCUCAUGUGCGAAAGCGUGGGGAGCAAACAGG